RNAcentral lists this ribosomal RNA (215 nucleotides) under uncultured bacterium. RNAcentral's name for it is "partial 16S ribosomal RNA". It matches the Rfam family "Bacterial small subunit ribosomal RNA", at positions 524 to 733 of the family's 1533-position model. The record is from RNAcentral.
UACGUAGGGUGCGAGCGUUAAUCGGAAUUACUGGGCGUAAAGCGUGCGCAGGCGGUGAUGUAAGACCGAUGUGAAAGCCCCCGGGGCUUAACCUGGGAAUGGCGGUUGAAACUAGUCGACUAGAAUCUGGCAGAGGGGGGGUGGGAAUUCCACGUGUAGCAGGUGAAAUGCGUAGAGAUGUGGAGGAACACCGAUGGCGAAGGCAGCCCCCUGGG